Oncorhynchus tshawytscha (Chinook salmon) is the source of this 3542-nucleotide RNA transcript. It is a transcript of the gene named arginyl aminopeptidase like 1, with no coding region annotated. The transcript has 12 exons. The record is from RefSeq and is a predicted model, not a curated record. NCBI's taxonomy places the organism in Eukaryota, Metazoa, Chordata, Actinopteri, Salmoniformes, Salmonidae.
GGGUCUCACAUUUCAUCACAGCUACAGUUGCAAUGUCGAUACAACAACCUCCAUAUGUUGUUUGCCCUGAAAAUGUUGAAAGAUGGGCUUGAAUGUGGAUCGUGGAGAAACGCAUCAUCUGGUUAACGUUUCGUCGUCAUGCGCACCGCGGCAACCCCUCCAUCGUCCUCCCCGACCGUAAUUCUACAGAACACUCCUCCCCCCGCGUGCCCCCUGCAAACCGCUGAGCGCAAGCCAAGGACACCAACAACAUAUCCAGGGCAACGAGGAAACAAUUACGAAUAAAGGUUAUCCAUUGUAACUACUCUCAGGGGAUGGUUGUUUCCGGCUUUGCAAACGGAUACCCAUUGAUACAAAGUAUCACAUUUACACUAUGGCCGUCUACCUUUCUCUGCCAUGAGUGUGAAAUAUGUAUCAGUUUCCUGCAUAAUGCAUGUCACUGGUGCAACGCCAAUUUGUUUUCCAUUCAAUGACUAUUCGCUCCGUGGAAUAUGCGUUUUGUUAACGUCGAGUUAGAGCUGAUGCUAAGGCUAAUUAGGCUACAUGUGGCUAUAGGCUAUGUUUAGGCUACCUUGCUGAGUCCACUCGUCUCUGUAGCGCCCCCCUACAUUCUACAGCUCUAAAACUUUCCUGUCUCAAAUAUUUCCUCCCUCUUUUUUUUUUACUUCCUGUUUUCUACGGGAGUCACAUAGCCCAAGCUCCUUUCAUUUCAACUGUAUGUUCACCCUUUUAUUUUUAUUUAUUCGCGCUACAUUGUUUCUCACACGUCUGUCUAACCGGCUCCCAGAUUCUUCUCUCUUUGCGUAAGUCGAGGACUUGGAAAUGCACAACUCGUUCAACUUCAGUCCCGAUGGAUUUGACAUGUUAUUUUUGAUGUCCUUUUUCUAAAACACUUUUUCUCUGCUGUUUUUUGUUGGUAAUGUCACUCUGGAAGUAGUUGCCCAACCAAAGCCCCUUUUCUACAAAGUAACAUGUCGGCAGCUAGCUCAUUAGCUAUGUGGCAGCUACUCUGGAGCUGACAUAUCCAGCUAAUUUGCACAUUUUAUACGCUUCAACUACGGUUGUUGUUCCUUUUUGCGCGUUCAUUUAUUCCCCCCGGGAAGUUAUAAUGGCCCAAUUCCAGCGUCCGACACUGUGUUGCUGCCGCAAAGUGCUCACAGUGCCUAGCAAGUCGUGUGAGGGCGGCCAAGGUCUGGGUCAGUGUCGCCUCGUCGACAUCGCCUCUGCGUCCAACUUCCACUGCUUCAAGCUUCGCCACUUCCAUCUCGACCUCCGCCUCAACUUUGCCGUAAAGGAGAUCACUGGGUGGCAAGUCCUGGAACUUGUGGCUAUCCAACCAGGAGUGCAGACUUUGGUUCUGGACACUCACCCAUCCUUGCUAAUUCAGUCCAUAGACUGCAAGGUGCCUGGCACCACCGGUGCCCAGGACAUUUCCCCGUCGCUCAUCUACCGGGUAGACCCAUUUACAGACUAUGGAUCUUCGCUGAAUAUCAGCCUUCCAGCCUACGUGAUACGGCCGCAUCGGGCUUUCCAGAUCACCGUUCGCUACACAACAACAGACGGUCCUGCGAUCUGGUGGCUGGACGCAGAGCUGACGUGUGGUCAGACUCGCCCGCUAGUCUUCACUCAGGGCCACUCUGUCUGCAACCGAUCCUUCUUUCCCUGCUUCGACACACCCGCCGUCAAGAGCACCUACACCGCUACUGUCAGGGUGCCGGAAGGUGUGACGGUGUUGAUGAGUGCCUCCCGUAGUGCCUACUCCAAGCAGGACAGGGUGUUCCAGUUCUCUAUGGAGUACCCCGUCCCAGCCUACCUGGUGGCACUGGUGGCAGGAGACCUGCAGCAUGUCGACAUCGGCCCCAGGAGCCGGGUGUGGGCAGAGCCGUGUGUACUGACCUGUGCUGUGAGCAAGCUAGGGGGUAGCGUGGAGCGUUGGCUGAAUGUGGCCGAGGACCUCUUCGGACCCUAUGUGUGGGGAAGGUACGACAUAGUGUUCCUGCCUCCGUCGUUCCCCAUCGUGGCCAUGGAGAACCCCUGCCUCACCUUCAUCAUCUCCUCCAUCCUGGAGAGCCGGGAGUUCCUGCUGAUCGACGUCAUCCACGAGAUUGCCCAUGGCUGGUUCGGCAACGCGGUCACCAACGCAACCUGGGAAGAGAUGUGGCUGAGCGAGGGACUGGCCACCUACGCACAGAGACGCAUCACUACCGAGGCCUACGGUGAGGCCUUCACCUGUCUGGAGACGGUGUUCCGUCUAGACGCCCUGCAUAGACAGAUGCGUCUCCUAGGAGACAACAACCCUGUCAGCAAGCUGCAGGUCAAAUUUGAGCCAGGUAUUAAUCCCAGUAGUCUGAUGAACUUGUUCACUUAUGAGAAAGGCUUUUGCUUCGUCUCGUACCUCUCUCAACUCUGUGGCAAUGUCAAGCGCUUCGACAGCUUCCUGAGGGCCUACAUAGAGCAGUUUAAGUUCAGCAGUGUUGUGGCCCAGGACCUGCUCGAUUUCUUCUUGUGCUUCUUCCCGGAGCUGAAGGAGAGCUGUGUGGCACAGAGAGAGGGGUUGGAGUUUGAGCGGUGGCUGAACGCUUGUGGCCCCCCUCUGUGCGAACCGGACCUCUCGGCCGGGGGGGUUCUGACCGGUCCCGUCCAGCGUCUGUGUGACCUGUGGGCCAGCGAACCCCCGGACCCUGAGGCCAUUGCAAACUUUAACCUCUCCUCUUGGAGCACCUUCCAGACCGUUCUCUUCCUGGACAGACUGUUGGACCGCUCGCCCCUCUCACACGAGGUUAUGGGUCAGUUGUCACGCUGCUACUCGGCCCAGCUGGAUGAGAUGAACGCUGAGGUGCGGAUCCGCUGGCUGCAGAUCGUGGUGCGGAACAGCUUCUACCCGGACCUGCCCCGCAUCCGCGGCUUCCUGCACAAACAUUUUCUGUAGAGAGAAAUCUGAACAAAUUCCAAACUGAGCGAUGCUGCUGGCAGCGGAAUCCAAUACAGCAGGGGGUUCUUACCACAAUGCAACUCAAACACAAACGCUAUGGAUAUCCCAAUGGCCCAUCUCUGAUUGUCUGCGAAUGGAUUACAAACCCAAAUGCAAAUGUGGAAAACGCGGGGGAAUCAGACAAAGACUUAAAAAAAUUUAAGAACAUACUUCCCUUACCCACCACCUUGCUGAUUAAUGCCCAGUCACUGAGGGGGAAAGCGGAUGAGCUGUCAGCGAAUUUGCACUUCCAACACGAAUAUCGGGAGGCCUGUUUGCUGGCGUUUACUGAGACUUGGCUGGAUGACAGAGUCCCGUACAGAGAAGAGGAGUUCACUCUGGUCAGAGCGACCGUGAUCUGACACUCACAGGGAAACUUCAUGACGGGGGCGUCUGCCUGCUUGUCAGGGACCAGUGGUGUAAAUGGAUCCUGACGUCGAGGAUGUACACAGUCCCGCUGUACGAGGACCUUUGUUCCGGGGUGAUGAAGUGCUUUGCAGCUGAGGUGUUCUACCAGACACAGGCCCGCCUCCACCCCAACCUCCGACGGACACUCCAGCAGAUCCUGUUC